UAGUAAGUCUUCGUAGCAAACUGAUAUUUUGAUUUGAAGUCAUCAAACUACCUUACAGAUAUGGUGUAAGACCGGGCAAACAUAGUUCUUAUAGAAGUUAGUGAUUAGGUAUAUCAUCAAGAUAUGCACGAAAGAUUAUAGUGAAUCAACAGAACAUCCAUCACUGAUAGGCCAUGAAUGAAUGACAACGCCCAUUUAAGUAUGUGUUUACAGUCAGAUCGAGUUGGUGUUUAAUCUGAUAUGGUUGAGACGUCAGUGAAUAUACAUGGAGGGUUUUUGAGUGAGAUGCUAAAUCUGGGUAUGGUCAGGUUCGGAUUAUUUGUAUGUCAGGGCCAUUAAUAUGAACCGUUUUUGCUUGCAUCCUCUCAGCUAGACUACAGUUGCUAGUUGCUACGAGGCCUGAGAAGUGAAGAUCUCCUCAGAGUUGAAGGCAAGUCUUUCAUAGCCAAUUUCAUUUAAUUAUGGAAGAUCAUAUUAAUUUAUUCGAUUCUAAUUUUCUAGUCGUUAGUUCUGCAAUAAAUUUUUCCGGGAAGUUUUCGAUUGAUUGCACUAAUAAUAGCUCAUUCUAAACAGAAAGUUAGGCAAAAAUUUAGCAAGUGUUUGGUGAAUUAUAGACAAUACUUUCAGACUGUUUUCAUAAUGAAUCUGGUUUAUUUUAUUCAUGAAAUUUCAAGAAUUCCAAUCAAGUAGGAAUCAUGGUUCGUGCACUUCUUUAUAUCGAAUUAAAUACAUACAAGAAUAAUUAUUUGUCAAAUUUUUAUAUUUGAAGAUUUUCAUGAUUAUCAUGGAUAUGUCAAUUCUGAUGUAACUAAGUGAAAUGCCUUUUAGGGCUACUUUUUAUAUAUGAAGUUUUUUCUUCCAUGUAAUUAGGGCUAAUUUUUCUAUGAAAAAGUUGAUCUUGCAUGUAUUUAGGGCUUGAGGUGAUGACUACCUAACUUUAUUCCAUCUGGUUUUAUGUUGUCAUAUAUGUUGAUUUCUUCUUGGGUGGUGUCCACUAAAAGUGACAGAUUAACAAAUUAUUGGAAGCUGAUGUUAGCCUUGAUUGGUUUAUGAGAGCACUAAUAGAUAGAUGCUCUCAAUUACUUUUAGGAAAAUGUUUGCACAUUCAGUUUGACAGUUGGUCAGAAGGGAGAGAUUAUGUUGUUAGAUCAAGGUUUUAUUGGAAUUUCUGAAUGUGCCUUUUCUUAAAUGGUGUAUAACUUUUGAACACCAGAUGGAGUCUUAAGAGUAUAAAAAUCUUAUUCUUUAUCUUUCGAGGUUCUUGAUAUCAUUUCUGUUUCCUCAUCCAUCAAAGUUUGGCACAUUUGGUGACUUAUAAUGUGAUUCAGCAGGAUGCUGUAGUAGCAAACCUGGAUUUAAAAAUUCUGUUUAAAUUUUCAAGUAUAAGUUGGAUUGAUCUUUCUUUAUUGGGAUAUAUUGGUUUUGGAAACAUUUGGAUGUGGGCAUUGGGCCUAUUAGAAUUGUCCCAAUUAAAUGACUUUAUGCAACUUGACCCAUGGAUGACCAGACAUUUCUGUGUUGUUUUAAUGGAUACCAAGAGAUGGUUAAGCUCCUUUCUUUAUCUUCUGCCACUAUUUGUCCACACUAAUCAAACUAUAGAUUUUUGCUAAAGACAUCAGAUUAUUUGAUACCAUAGGUGGAAUUAUGCUGGUAUUUUUCAAUGCUGACCACCCAGGCCAACAUGUAGUAAAACCAAUUAUCUAACGCAGAAGUGAUAUCUCUCUGUCAUUGACAAUUGAAUUAGUGGAAGUACAUCAUUUUCAAAAUCAGAACAAAAAAAAAAAAACCUGCGAUGUAUGAGAGACAUCCACGUGCAUUACUACGGUUGGUAGAUGAAGAAUCUUAGGUGGAAGAGGUCAACAUAAUGAUCAAGGAAAUAAACUUGCUUUUGGAUAAAUUAAAGGACAACCUCUGCGCGGCCAAAGAGAGAAUGAAAAAGGUGGCAGAUAAGGGUAAGAGAGAAGUGGAAUAUGAAGUGGGUGAUUAUGUAUUUCUCAAGAUUCAGUCUUAUUGUUUUCGAUCCAUAGUUUGCUGCCCAAACAAAAAGCUAUGACCACAUUUUUAUGGCUCUUAUGAGAUCUUGGAAUGAGUAGGGAUGGUUGUUUAUAGGUUGAAACUUCCGUUGACGGCUAAAAUUCAUCCCUAUUUUCACGUAUCACAGUUAAAGAACAGAAUUGACCCAAACGUUUCAAGUCAGCCACUGUCGGAUUUCCUAAAUGAAGAAAAUGAAUUGGUGGUACAACCAGAGGAAGUGUUAGACUAUGGAUAUUCACCCCAAGGGGAAUUAGAACUCCUCAAUAAAUGGCAACAGUUGUGAUAAUUCACGGGAGCUAAAUAGGAUUUUUAAACAACUCUUUCCUCAAUUUUACUAAGAGGACAAGGUGUCUGUGGAUGGGCAGGGUAAUGUUGGGCAGCAUGUUUACAUUUCUCACAAGAGAGGAAAACAAAUACAAAGGAGAGGAGGAAAUGACACAGGUGGUAGCAAACUGAGAAGCACAAAAUGAACUCAUACAGCAAAACAGAAACUGGACCACAGAGAUAUUGAGCUGAACGGUAGUGGUUAUGGAGUGAAUCAAGUAUAUUGGCUAGAGGAAGGGAGGAAUCAAGCAAGAAUUCUGGAACAAUAGAGGAAAGGAAGGAGAGAUCUGGCCUCUCGAAUGCCAUGCAAUAGAAUUGUUACUAAUUUACUGUUUUAUUGUAGUUAAUGGUGUUGAUGAGCUUAACAUGUUUGUAAUGAUCAUUGGAUGUUGGUUUUACUGAUUGUUGGAUAUUAACACAAAAGAAAUGGUUAAUUUGAUUCUAUCUAUUGAGUAGCGUUGCAGUAGAAGGGCAGUUGUGUAUGCUUGUAUAUUGAGUUGUCACAGGAAGCUGUCAAGUGAAGUUUUGUUGGCAAAACCAUCGGAACAAGAAGUGAUUUUCAGAGGGAGGAGCAGGAAUUUGGAGUACUGAAGCAAUGAAAAAUGGCCUUAAAAUUUUUGACAUAUACAUCUCAGAUUUUUCUGGGUCCAAGUUUUUGCAGAGUUGCGACCUUCUGAGUUUAAUCUUGAACUUGAAGAACAGAAGUUGGGUGUUGGGUGAGGGUGGGGGACCUCAACUAGCUUGUCAGUAAGAAAUUCUCUCUGCGAAGAAGUUCAUAUUCAAUAAUUCUUUAUGCAAGUUCCACCUCUCCAAUAAGAAUCAACCCACAUGCCUACCUUGUCCAGAAAUAUAUAUCUGUACUAAUCUUGCAGGAAGGAUCCUUUCCCAUUUUGCCCUUUUUCAGUUUGAACUCUCCGUUAGAGCUCCCAUUGUAGACUACUUGCUUGUUUAUAUAUGCUUAUAAAAGGUGGGUCCUCAUAAAGUGUAGAAUUAACAAUGAAGUAUCCAUUUUUCCCUCAAGGGGUAAGGCGAAAGAGAGAGAUUUCAAACAUGAAAGCAAUCAUUCAAAUCUCUUCUAACAAUAUUUUAAAAUUAAACUUUCGACUUAUUUGGUAUAGUGAUUAUGAGAUCGGUCAUUAGACUUGAGGUUUCAUCUGUUUGAUAUGAUCGAUUCAAUCUCAAAGAGAUGGUCCGACUCAAGUAAGGUUUUUUUGUUACCCAAAAAAAAAAACGAUCCUAUCAAGCCAUUUUGCUCCUCUUUCAUGAAAAAAACAGUGCUUUCUUACAAAUACCCAGUGAGCACAACUAAGCCUCUUGUAAUUGUAUCCAAUACUAAUUUCCUUAUUGUAUAUUUAUUUGAAUGAUUGAUUUGUACCAUUUUAAAUAAUAUUGUGUACACUAGCUGGAGGGGAAUUAAAAUAAGGUUAAAUUUGCACCAAA
Molecule: long non-coding RNA, 3798 nt
Organism: Mangifera indica (mango)
Lineage: Eukaryota; Viridiplantae; Streptophyta; Magnoliopsida; Sapindales; Anacardiaceae
Exons: 3
Source: RefSeq, a predicted model, not a curated record